AUCAAUGAAGAAAGAUUUCAUCUUACUACUUGUCAGGUCACAAUAGUAUAUGAAAGGCUUGAAAAGAGCAAAAACCACACUACGAUGGGAAUCUCCAUAUAAGUUCAUUCAGCCCAGGAAAAUUUCUCUGGUAUUCUUCGUCUAUACUACAAGUCAACAUCAGACCAUGCUUGUACAUAUAUCCAGAAAUUUCAGGGUUGUAUAAAACAACGCUUCUCACAUACCACUAAGAGAGUGCUUCAUAUUAUGAUGAUAUUUCUCACUACGCCAGGAUAACAGGGCCACAGAUUCAAGUUCAAUAAUCCCUUCCUCAGUAUUAAAUAGAAAGACCACCAUGUUACUAUCAAGACAUCAACCGUAUCACCGAUAAGGGAUUAAUUAAGGAAAGAACCUUACACAUAUCUUGUAACCAGUCUAUCUUAAUUGAUUAAUUGAUUUACUCGUAUCAAAAGAGUCACAGUUUAUCAUAUACAUUGAUAAACAAAUGUUUCACGUGCUACAUCCCAUCACUAUAUUAAGUGCAGGAUAUCAAGGCCACAUGCUCAAGCUCAGUAACCUUUUCCUCAGUAUUAUAGAUAGAAAGACUAGCUAUAUUACUAUCGAGGCAACAACUGUAUCACCAAUAAGAGAUUAAUUAUAAA
Molecule: non-coding RNA, 641 nt
Organism: Nylanderia fulva
Lineage: Eukaryota; Metazoa; Arthropoda; Insecta; Hymenoptera; Formicidae
Source: RefSeq, a predicted model, not a curated record